RNAcentral lists this unclassified non-coding RNA (365 nucleotides) under Hevea brasiliensis (rubber tree). Lineage: Eukaryota; Viridiplantae; Streptophyta; Magnoliopsida; Malpighiales; Euphorbiaceae. The record is from RNAcentral.
GGCAUUCUAAAAUCAGAUUUGUCUAUCCUUUUUAAUUUCUUUGUUUUUCUUGUUGUUUGGCUUUGUAGAAUUUAUGUCUUUUGAGUUCUUUGUGUUUUGCUUGUUGGGUGAAUUUCUUGGCUUCUAUAUAUAUUAAUCGAGUCUUAAUUUCUUUAAUCCGUUUUGUUCGAAUUUCAUUCAUUAAAUAUCUAAUUCAUGUUUUGUACUUUAUGAUAAUUUUUGUUGAACUCUUUGUUACAGUGUUUGGGUAUACAAAAUGUUUUAGGAAAUCCUUGUUUGGGAGGUUUUCUUUUAAUUGCUACCAAGUGUUUGUUAUUUUGACUGUUUGAUAGUAUAAAUGUUAUUUUGCUUAGUUUGUGUUAUUU